UACAGAGGGUGCAAGCGUUAAUCGGAAUUCCUGGGCGUAAAGGGCGCGUAGGUGGUUAUAUAAGUGAGAUGUGAAAUCCCUGGGCUUAACCUAGGAAUGGCAUUUUAUACUGUAUAGCUUGAGUACAUGAGAGGGUAGUGGAAUUUCCGGUGUAGCGGUGAAAUGCGCAGAUAUCAGGAGGAACACCAAUGGCGAAGGCAGCUCGCUGGAACGGUACUGACGCUGAGGCGCGAAAGCGUGGGGAGCGAACAGG
This 253-nucleotide ribosomal RNA is filed under the name uncultured bacterium. RNAcentral describes it as "partial 16S ribosomal RNA". It matches the Rfam family "Bacterial small subunit ribosomal RNA", at positions 524 to 776 of the family's 1533-position model. The record is from RNAcentral.